GAUGAACGCUGGCGGCGUGCCUAAUACAUGCAAGUCGAGCGAACGGACGAGAAGCUUGCUUCUCUGAUGUUAGCGGCGGACGGGUGAGUAACACGUGGAUAACCUACCUAUAAGACUGGGAUAACUUCGGGAAACCGUAGCUAAUACCGGAUAAUAUUUUGAACCGCAUGGUUCAAAAGUGAAAGACGGUCUUGCUGUCACUUAUAGAUGGAUCCGCGCUGCAUUAGCUAGUUGGUAAGGUAGCGGCUUACCAAGGCAACGAUGCAUAGCCGACCUGAGAGGGUGAUCGGCCACACUGGAACUGAGACACGGUCCAGACUCCUACGGGAGGCAGCAGUAGGGAAUCUUCCGCAAUGGGCGAAAGCCUGACGGAGCAACGCCGCGUGAGUGAUGAAGGUCUUCGGAUCGUAAAACUCUGUUAUUAGGGAAGAACAAAUGUGUAAGUAACUAUGCACGUCUUGACGGUACCUAAUCAGAAAGCCACGGCUAACUACGUG
This 497-nucleotide ribosomal RNA is filed under the name uncultured bacterium. RNAcentral describes it as "partial 16S ribosomal RNA". It matches the Rfam family "Bacterial small subunit ribosomal RNA", at positions 28 to 507 of the family's 1533-position model. The record is from RNAcentral.